ACAGGCCUCAGGGAGAGAGGGUUGAGAAACCUCGACCAGGGUUCGCCGAAUCGGCAGGAUAGUCGAUUCGAACGUUACGAAGUGACGGCCCGAAGGGCGAAGGGCAGGAUGCCCGGAGUAAUCUUUCUUGAGUUCACU
This 138-nucleotide small RNA is filed under the name Zetaproteobacteria bacterium CG1_02_53_45. RNAcentral describes it as "RtT sRNA". It matches the Rfam family "RtT RNA". From Rfam's summary of the family: This family represents a bacterial cis-regulatory element known as RtT RNA. The exact function of RtT is unknown although it is thought that it may be involved in changing the cellular response in relation to amino acid starvation. Lineage: Bacteria; Pseudomonadati; Pseudomonadota; Candidatius Mariprofundia. The record is from RNAcentral.